AUGAAGACCCGGGUGUGGGGGAGCCACACCGCGGCAACCACGUCCCCUGUGACGCUGGUCAAGCCCGUGCAAGUUGGCACGACAAUCGCAGCCCCGACAUCCUCGGGACCCGAAAAGACCGUGCAAGUUGGCACGGCAAAGGCGCCCCCGACAUCCUCGGGACCCGACAAGCCCGUGUCAGGAGGCACGACAACGACGCAUCUGGUGGGCCACAUCCCGACCAUGAUGCAGGCGGACAAUGAGCCCGUGCGAGAGGCACGGCAGUCUCAGGUCGGCCACACCCCGAAAACCAUGUUCUCGGGCUUCUGCAAGCCCGUGUGGGCGACACAGCACUCUUCGACAGGCCUCAACUCGGGGGUGAUGAAGAGACGGUCAUGGGGCGGCCAGGCCUCGACCGUGACUCUGGCGACCAUCGAGGCCGCGCAGGUGGCGCGGAGCUCUCUGGCCGGCCACGCCGCAACCCCGACACACUCGGGGUCCAUCGAGUUCGUGCGGGAGGCACGACACUCUCUGGUCGGGCACGCCCCGACCACGCUGAUGGCGACCGUCGAGACCAUGCAGGAGCCACGGUGUUCUAUGGUCGUCCACGUUGCAACCCCGACACGCUCAGGGUCCAUCGAGUCCAUGCGGGAGGCAUGA
This 639-nucleotide ribosomal RNA is filed under the name Triticum aestivum (bread wheat). RNAcentral's name for it is "partial small subunit ribosomal RNA". The record is from RNAcentral. Lineage: Eukaryota; Viridiplantae; Streptophyta; Magnoliopsida; Poales; Poaceae.